Long non-coding RNA from Haemorhous mexicanus (house finch), 5011 nucleotides. RefSeq lists it as uncharacterized. The transcript has 2 exons. The record is from RefSeq and is a predicted model, not a curated record. Lineage: Eukaryota; Metazoa; Chordata; Aves; Passeriformes; Fringillidae.
GAGCUGCCAGACAGAAAGCAGCAGCAUCAGCAAAAGCCUUCAGAGCCCCUUGCUUCUAGCCUCCUUCCUUUCUCCCUCAGCACUUAGAAGCCUCUGGUUUAGUGGACAGGCCAGCUCUUUGCUCAGUCCAUGAAAGGGCUGGGUGUAGCAGAAGAACCCGCUAGAUUUUCUGACACUGGCCAUUCCAGCUCCUGUUUCAAUGCCACUUCUGAGCCAUGCACCGAGGUAAUGAGCAACUGAAUUAAGCAGGAAGGUCCAUAAAUGAAUCUAAAUUUAUUUCAACUUGGUAAGAUAGACAAUGUUACCCUACCUGAUGCUGAAACUGGUCGUGCAGAUCUCUCUUCUGCUCCUGGGCUCGGAUCAUGUCCAUCACUUUGCGAUUUUCUGGCAUGCAAGUAGGACAUUCUGAAUCGCUCUCAGAGUAGCUUUCAAAGCAGUGCUGGUGAAAGGAAUGACCACACAGGAAGUGGACUGAAGGGAGCUCCAGUGCACUGGUGCAAAUGCUACACUUGGUCUUCUGAAAAAUCUUGGGACUGAGUGACAAGAUGGAGAAGCAUGAGAAAGACAAACUACACUUCACCUUACUAAAAGAAAACAGCAGUUCUGUCCUUGAAUAGGACUAGACAAGACAGCACACAUUCCUGCACCUUGCUUUUAGCUCUUCAAUUUCCAGGCGGAUCCUCGUAGUUUCUUCUCGGUAUUUCUGAAUUCUCUGCUCAUCCUGCUCUAUCUGGCGGCUUUGCUUCUGCAGCUUGUUGACAAGAUAAUCCUUAAUCACAGACAGGGUGGCUGUGGAGUUAUGAGCCAGCGUCUGCACAACUGAGAGCAACUGAGAUGUUAGUUUAAACACAAGCACAAAAACUGCAGCUAUGCUUGUACUGUCAGGACAGACUGCUUUCCUGGGACAGGCCACUUACAGCCAAAGACAGCUGGCAUUCUCAUGGAAUUGGAAGACCUCACUUAAAGAUUCUCUUUCAGUUUGAUCUCUUCCAGAAAUGGGUGACUGGGAGCAUGUCUGGAUAACUCAGACCAAAAGGGACAAAGAAUGGAUCUAGUAGUGGAUUGGAUUUUAGUUCUCCACCAAGGCUCAACAGGAGUUUCAGCACACCCUGCACUGCCCCACACUGACAGACAGAAAUCAUGUAUGAGACAUCUCACUGACACUGCAGAUCUUUCUCCAUAACUAGGGAGCUGUGACUGACAUUGUUUUUCCCUAUGGAGCAGGUUAUUACUUCACAUGGUAGGCUCCAAUUUCAUUGAUUCUUCUAAUGUCUGAUCUACAGAAAGCACUACAAACAAGUCUGGGUUGGAGUCUUUUGUGGUUUGUUUUUCUGGUUUUUGCUUGGGUUGGGGUUCUAUGGCAGGGGAGGCUGAGGGUUGAAUGUCCUAUGUCAUUACCAAGCAGCGGAGGCAUAAGAUUCUUGUUCUCGAUGUGUUUCAGCACUGCAGCAAUAUACUCUUUGCAGUUCUCCUCCUUCCGUGCAAAGUAGCUAAGAGCCUGUUCCCAGAGACAAGCCUCUUGGUCGCCAUACAACUCACACACCUCAAUCACCUUCUUGUACUGCUCAUUCUGCAUGUGGUAGUGCAUGAUCUGUUGGAAACUAUGGGAGAAAGACUCAUCAGCUGCAACAAUCCAUCUUGCUCUUUGAGGUUUUACAGGGACCUAGGGUUUUCACCCAGCCAUGCAAUCUCCAGACUCACACAGAAGCCAAAGACAAGUCUUUUUUUCACUCUCUCUAACUGCCUUGCUUCAACAGUGAGGUAUUUCUGCAAAGCAAUCAUCUACCAUGCCCAUCUUGAGAUGCUAAAGAGGUCACUACCAUUAAUGGUACAGACAAUUAUGGCUCAGAAAUCGCUGCAGUGGGGGCAAGAGGGGAAGGACAAGACUCUAAAGACAAGAGCAACACUCACAGUUUGCCCUGCUCAUAGAGGUAGAGAACACCAUCCUUGAAAUUGUGCAUCUGACAUAAGACCAAGGCCUUAUCAAAGACUGUUUUGAACCUUCCGCUCUUCAGGAGGGUGAGGGCUUCAUUGUGCAACUUCUCCUUGAUCUACUAAGAAGAGGGAGAGGUCAAGAAGAGGAACACCGGCACACCCACAUACACACUAUUUUGCACUAAGACGUGACAAUUUGGAGCUCUUUCAUGCAGGUCACUUUUGGUACUUGCUCUUUAAACCUUUUAAGCAAACAGGACAUGAUUUUCUUUGCCCAAACAACCAACAUCCUCACAGAUCUAGGCAAGCAAGUAAAGAUACUUUUGUGGGCAAACCAACUGCUCAGAGGCUGUGUUGUCUGGAAUCUGUCCUUAAAUGACAUACAAACAAAACAAGUUCAGCCAUCCUGAAGGGAAUAUUCUCCCAGAUACAAGGCUGCUUUCCCAUUUCUGUGCUAUUUGUCCAGCACAGCAUAUGUAUUGCCUCAUGUUGUCAAUGCCCAGCUGGAAAGGGCAUUGCAGGAAUGCAAAUAUGACUCACAGACACCAAAUCUUUCCCCUCAAAACACAAUGCUGGAGGGAGCUCAAACCUGCUCAUCUUGUUCAUGUGCCCAGUUCUGCAGUCGAAGUUCCAGUAAAGUGUCAUAGACACCCUGUGGAGAGUCAGCCUGCACCUCAGUCAUGUGCUCCAGAAAAGCUUUCAGUUCUCGGGAAUUGUUAGCAAAGACUGGGAUGAACUCCUCUGAAUUAGCCUGUAAAACAGUCAGAAAAAGACAAGUACCCACAUCAUCUAAGCCACACUAGUGCUUCCUUCCUGCCAUGAGGAAUGUUUGCUUCCAGAGUCUCAGACAGGACAGAUACAGCACAAUACAGGAUGCUGACAACAUCGAGGAUCAAUCCUGAGCAAUAACUUUAAGAGGUCCCCUGCCUCUAGGACUACCACAACAUCAGAACAGGGCUUCUCAGAGAAUCACUGAAUAGUUUGGGUGGGAAGAGAACUUUAAAGGUCAUCUAGUCCAAUAUCCCUGCAAAGAGCUGAAACAUCUUCCAUUUCAACAGGUUGCUCAGGUCCACAUCCAACCUCACUUGAGUGUUUCCAGGGAUGGGGCCAUCUACCAAUUCUCUAGGCAACCUGGUUCAGUGUUUCACCAACCUCAUUAUAAAAAGUUCCUUCCUUCUAUCUAGUCUAAAUCCGCUCUCUUUUACUUUAAAAUUAUUACCUCUUGUAGCAUCACAACAGGCCCUGUAAAAAAGUUUGUCCUCAUUUUUCCUAUAAAUUGAGUACUGAAAGGCUGCAAUGAGGUCCUUCCUGAAGCCUUCCCUUAUCCAGACUGGGCCACCCCACCUCACUCAGCCUUUCUUCAGAGCAGGUGUGUUCCAUCCCUCUGAUCAUUUUUAUAGCCCUCCUCUAGACCCACUCCAAAAGGUCCAUGUCUCUUCUGUGCUAAGGGUUCCAGAGCUAGACACAGUAUUCUAGGUGGGGUCUCAUCUGAGUAGAGUUUAUUAAGUUAUAAUUCUCAUUAUACCUAAAACAUCAGGAUGGCAACACAAGGUAUGCAGAAGCACUCACUGCAAAGUUACUACUGGAGAGCAACAACUCUCAGUCAACACAAACCCUACCUUUUUUCCUUCUAGCAUCCCAGGGCCUUCAUUACCUCCCGAGGGACUGUAAUCAGUGCAAAGGAUCUUCAGCAAUUCAGUGGUCUCAUUAGGGACAUGGUGCAUCAGGAUUUUACCAUAUCUCUUCAUGUUACUCUCUGCCUGUUCAAAGGGCAGUUUUCCAAUGUAGUGCAAAGCCUCUUGGUAGUUCUGUGAAGACAGACAACAAAACAAUCACAGGACACUGGCCUCUGCUCUCUACUUUGAGCUUAGGACAGAAAGCAUUGAAGACAUGCUGUGGGUAUGCUACAAAUACCAUUUGCUCUGAAUUAUCAUCUAGUUCACUAUUCCUGCUCAGGGAGAAAGACUGGAUACAGCCUGGGGGAAACAUUUAGAUGAAUCCCCAACUAAGCACUCUCCUUAGAGUGCUCCUCUUAAAGGGCACUGUAAAAAGCCACAUCAGAAAGAAAACAAGAUCUUCUGAUUUCCCCACCUAGUCUAACACACAAGCCAAAAGCAGAAAGGCAACACACCAACAGCAACGAGUAUUGUUGCUGCUGCUCUCACCUGCAUGCUAUCCUCAGCAAAGAGGUCAGUGAAAUUAUAUUCCCGCUAAAGAGGAGGCAUGGGAAUUGGUAUUCUCCCCAGUAAGAACACACAUGCAGUUAUGUCUCCUCACCUUGAUGUCCUCUAACUGGAUUUUGAGGUACCAUUCAUGAUGCUCAUGCUUCUCUGCCAGGUACACGGCAUGGGAGUAGUAACCAGCUUGGCGAAGUACCUUGAUAGCCGUUUCCACAUCAAAGUGGACCUCACUCUCACUCGUCUCCAAGAACAAAAGCAAAGAGAUGGUCCCUCAGAAAAAUUCUAACAGUCCAGAAGCAGUAAUCAUUUAUGUUAGAGGAGGAAAACAUGAGACAUCAUGACAUGGGACAAUCAUGGUACCUCUCGUGCAAGAGAAAAAUCACCCAUGCACAAAGGAAGGAGUCUAACCACUUCUCAUUUGCUUGCCAGUUGCACUGGCAGAAGCAAGCACACUCCAGACCCAGAUGGCAAACCAACCAAACUGAGAAAGUAAACAAGAGCUUGGAAAUAAAGGAGCAAAGAGCAGUGUACUGAGUGGUAGAUUCAUUAUUCUCUCUCUUAACAGUCACAGAGGAGGGAAUUUACAAUGUCACCACAGACCCUUUUUAAUUAUUAUGAUGACAUAAAAAUGUAGCAUGAUUCCAUGACUCCCCAAUACCUUAAUGAACUCUUCCAGUUUGGAGCUGUCUUUGAGUUUGGUAUAGCAAUUCAGCAGAAGUGUAGUGUGGUCUGCAUUAGCCAGGGACUGCAGAUGGAGCAUCUGUAGAUAAGCAGUAAGGUUGUGGAUACGCUGAGCGUCCAGGAAUUUCCGAAUAACAUAAGAUGGUUCUAGCUUCCCUAUAGUUCUGUGAGGGAAAGAGUUACAAGAUAUUGUAUACUCAUGAAAUCAAAAUAAA